UGCGACAUCGCAGGAGAGACCGGAACGCCGCCAGGCGCGUCCGGCGCCGACGGAGCAACCGCCCCGGAAACUCUCAGGCACACAGGACUGUGGCGUCGCA
Molecule: non-coding RNA, 100 nt
Organism: Cupriavidus sp.
Lineage: Bacteria; Pseudomonadati; Pseudomonadota; Betaproteobacteria; Burkholderiales; Burkholderiaceae
Source: Rfam